AUAAAAAGUUUGGGGAGCUCAUGUUAUGGGCUGAGAAAGGGCUUUUGAGUACCUGACCCAUGAACCUGAUCGGGGUAAUGCCCGCGUAGGGAAGGUAUAGUGAAAAAAG
This is a regulatory RNA element of 109 nucleotides. It matches the Rfam family "TPP riboswitch aptamer (THI element)". From Rfam's summary of the family: Vitamin B(1) in its active form thiamin pyrophosphate (TPP) is an essential coenzyme that is synthesised by coupling of pyrimidine and thiazole moieties in bacteria. The previously detected thiamin-regulatory element, thi box was extended, resulting in a new, highly conserved RNA secondary structure, the THI element, which is widely distributed in eubacteria and also occurs in some archaea. The record is from Rfam.